This 282-nucleotide RNase P RNA is filed under the name Klebsiella pneumoniae. RNAcentral describes it as "partial RNase P RNA component class A". It matches the Rfam family "Bacterial RNase P class A", at positions 82 to 367 of the family's 367-position model. From Rfam's summary of the family: Ribonuclease P (RNase P) is a ubiquitous endoribonuclease, found in archaea, bacteria and eukarya as well as chloroplasts and mitochondria. Its best characterised activity is the generation of mature 5'-ends of tRNAs by cleaving the 5'-leader elements of precursor-tRNAs. The record is from RNAcentral. Lineage: Bacteria; Pseudomonadati; Pseudomonadota; Gammaproteobacteria; Enterobacterales; Enterobacteriaceae.
CGCCUGGGGGGUGUCACAGCCCACGACCAGUGCAACAGAGAGCAAACCGCCGAUGGCCCGCGCAAGCGGGAUCAGGUAAGGGUGAAAGGGUGCGGUAAGAGCGCACCGCGCGGCUGGUAACAGUCCGCGGCACGGUAAACUCCACCCGGAGCAAGGCCAAAUAGGGGUUCAUAAGGUACGGCCCGUACUGAACCCGGGUAGGCUGCUUGAGCCAGUGAGCGAUUGCUGGCCUAGAUGAAUGACUGUCCACGACAGAACCCGGCUUAUCGGUCAGUUUCACCU